RNAcentral lists this long non-coding RNA (848 nucleotides) under Solanum tuberosum (potato). RNAcentral's name for it is "long non-coding RNA (STUB_LNC005091)". Lineage: Eukaryota; Viridiplantae; Streptophyta; Magnoliopsida; Solanales; Solanaceae. The record is from RNAcentral.
GUAAAUGUUGCUGGCUGUUGUGAACAACAGCAGUUCGCUCGCGCAGCCGAGAAAAAGAAAUAGAAAGGGUUGGAAUAUUCACCUGCGCCGUCGACAAGAGCAUUCAGGUGAGAAUUGUAUCUCUAAAUCUAGUGAUUUCACAAUUAAAGGCUUAGGCGAGAGAACAAACAUAUUGCAUUGACGUUACGAAGUAAUAUGAUAGUGGGAUGGCAGGAAAUUGUUGUUGCUGUGUAUAUUAUUAGAUAGGAUUCAAAUUUUAAUAGUUAAAUAUUGGUUAAUAUUGAUUGGCAAGACCUUAGUCUAAUGAUUAGGUAAUAAUGGCCUAAAUGAUUUGGAAGGAAUAUUGGUGGUGAAUUGAUGAUUUCAUGUUGUAACUUCCAGCGAAUGAAAUGAGGAUUCACAAACUUUAUUCGUCUUUGAUAUUUUGUUCUUUAUCCGUAUACUUAUUAUAUUAUAAUUCAAGUUUUGCUAUAUUGAAAUAAGUAAUUAAAUAUAAUGGUAUAAAAUUAUAUGAAUACCAUUAGGUUGAUGAUAUAUGGAGAAAUUGGAACUUAACCCUAGACUUGAAAUUUGGAGAAAAUUGAAGAGUUGACAUGUUAUUGGCAUCAAGAUUAGGAAUUUGAUUAUAGAUUUGAGUGAAUUUUUGGGUCUAGUCUAGACAGAAAGUAAUGUGAGUGUUUUUAGUUUCAAAAUCUUAUUGUGAUUAUUAAUGUGAAUAGAUUGCUUUGAGUUGGAAGUUCAACAAAAAGGGAAGGCUCAAGUCCCGGAGUGAAUUCUUGAUUGAUUGAGGCAAGUGGAUUUCUAAAUCCUUGUUAAGUGUAUGGAAUUCGUGUAUUUCCUUGUAAUAU